GAAAUCACGUUAGAAAUCACGUUAGAAAUCAAGAAAUCGCAUUAUAAAUCAACAGAAAUCCGUUUAGAAAUCAACAGAAAUCAGAUUAGAAAUCAAGAAAUCAGGUUCGAAAUCGCGUGAUUUCGAAAUCUCGUACGCUUCAUGUGGUCGUGUCGAACCCCUCGGACUGUUGUUUGCUGAUGGCCAAAUCACGACAGCGGACAUCAAUUAUUCAAAAUAUGUUCUUAUAGCUUCACGUUUACGAUACGAAACACGUUUUAAUGUAAGAUUAUUUAUUUUUUGUAUAUGUAGGUUCUAGUUGAAAGUGACAGCGACAAUGAAAAAAGUGCAAACAACAUUGAAAUAUCCAGUUCACUACUAGCUCAAAUCCUGCGACAUAUCACUUGCUAGUAGCCCAGUCUAGUUUAACUUUUCCCAAUCAAGAAUCAUCUCCUGAAUCGGGCAUACUGGCAACACUGGUUCAUUUGAUAAUGUAAGUUUUUAAACUGGUAUUUUAGAUUAUAGCCUCGGUCAAAUGAGGAUGGAAGUCAUGCAUGAAUUGCUUAUAAAUACACAAAGGACAUUUCAAGUUCCACAUGAACAAAAUAUUAUUAAAGCUUUGAUGAGUGUUCCAACUAUGUUUCAACCUAAUUAAAAUACUCUCAUCCUCGCUUGAUCCAUAAUUAUUUGUUGAUUUUAUUCGAUACUAAAUAGUGAAACAUCGAAUCCAGAUAAAAUCUUAUGCAGAACCCACUGUAAUUCCGGGCUGUAAUGAUAUAAUUAUAUAAAAGUCGUUUCAGUAGCAGCAAAAGCCAAACUAAACACCAACUAGGAUUAAUAGGUUUAGCUUUUAGGCCGAGAAUAAUACACGAUUGACAAUUUUGUGGCUGAUUGAUUAAUUAAUUAAUAGUAUACUGUAUAUUGAUGUUGUUGUUGUAUACAGGACAUCUGACUUACAUGUCAAAUUAAUAGUCGAAUCAAUGAUUAUAUUGAGUAUGGCAGAUUUGACAUUUGAAACAUUGUUGAUGUUAAUAAGCCAAUGAGUCGCAUUGCGCCCUGAUGCGCACUAAGUAUUUAUUAUUUUACUCUGGUUAUCUAACGCUAGCCAAUUUUACUCACCAAGGGGAGAGCACUGGCGGUUAAUGUGUUAACUAGCCUAUCUGCCCAUGUUUACAGUUAACCCAUUGAGUCGCAUUGUCCCCUAAUGCGCCCUAAUUUAUUAUUUUACUCUGCCUAUCGCAGGACAAUUUUACUCAUUAAGGGCAGAGCGCUGGCGCUUAAUGUGUUAACUGGCCUAUCUGCCCAUGUGUCUAGUUAACCCAUUGAAUCGCAUUGCGCCCUAAUUUAUUAUUUUACUCUUUCUACUGCCAGACAAUUUCACUCAUUAAGGGGAGACCACCAGUACUUAAUUGGUUAACUGGCCUAUCUGCCCAUGUGUGUUGUUAACACAUUGAGUCGCAUUGUGCCCUAAUUUAUUAUUUUACUCUGUCUAACACCAGAUGAUUUUACUCGUCAAGGUAAGGGCGCUGGUGCUUAAUGGGUUAACUGGCCUAUUUGCCCAUGUUUAUAGUUAACGCAUUGCGGCCUACUUUAUUUUUUUUAGUCUGUCUCGGGAGGAGAACGCUAGUGCUUAAUGGGGUUAAUAUUGAAAAUAUAGAUCAACAUUUGUCAAAACUCAUGACUUGUGCAAUCAUUUCUGUAAUAAUUAAGAUAUUAAAAUACCAAAUAUAAUGCCUUAUGGCUUAUUUCAAAUAGGGAGAUGCUAUGUGACUAUAUCCAUUGAAACGUAGUGGAUUUGUUGUAGCUACAUCAAAUAAAUGCUAGCCAAAAACAUAUUCAAGUCAAUCGAAGAGAAUGUAGUAUUGCACUUUACAUAAAAUUCCCUAGUUAUUGUACAUUAAUGCAUUUGAAAUGGAAAUAUAUUGUUUUAAUUUUAUUUCUAUGGUUUGUACUAUGAUAUACAUGGGCUAUACACUCUUUGGGAACCUGCAGGGCUGUUGCCAGAGCAUUUCUAUGAUCUGGAACUUCAGUCCUAAACACGAUGUGUGGGUGCGAAGAUGUUGUGUAGGAACAGAACUGUACAGAUUAGAAAUAUGAUUACUGAUAUUUUCCAAAGAAAAACUAUUAAUAUACAGAAGAGGAAAGAAAGAGGCAAUAAAUAGCCCAAAGUAUCUGUUGUACAUUUGAAAUUUAAAAAUGGUAGGCUUAUUAAGGAUGAGAUACAGAGAAAAACAGUAAUGCAGAACUACAUUCUCUUAAAUUGUCAAAAUUCAACGCUACCAAUCUUGGUCUCAUUUCAAACUUGAAUAACGAAAAGUCUAAAAAUAUAAAAACUAUAAGAACAGAUCAGCUAAGUCCAGUUAUAAAAUUAAAUGAUGAAGGAAAGCUGUCAUUUUAGGAAAGUGUUGUUUUGGGGUGUGUAAACCCAUGAGGUUACAUGUUUCGGGUAAAUCUGUGCUUGCUGCAGCAAAAAUUUAUUAAUCGUUUGUGAUAUAAUUCACAACAUGUCUAUUUUAACCUGUGGGUUGCCAAACUUCUUAAAUAUGGAAUUUGUUUUGUCUGACCAAGAUAUAAUGAAUACCACUAGUGACAUGAGUAUGUCCAAUUAAUAUUUAACUAGAAAUAAAUGCAUGCAGCAACCCCUAGCCUAUAUUUUCCAAACAUUGAUUUAACAUGAACUAUUAGCAAUUGGCCAGCACUGAACAAAGGCUCACGUUGUGUCAAGUGUUUUCAAGGCAACAUAAUGUCACAUUAUAUUUUAAAUUUUUUUGAGUAAUUUUGCAAGUGUUCAUACCACAGAAUCUACCAUACAUAAUUUUAGACAAAUAGAUAGGUGAAGUAAUUCAAACAAAAUGAUUUUGAACUUUAUUACUCUACUCUGUCGAACGCCUAUUCUACUCGUAAAGGGGAGAGCCCUGGUGCUUAAUGGGUUAAAUAAGAUUGUAUAGUUAUAUGUAUGUCAUGUAUUAUGUUUUUAUGCAGUCUCCCUGAAUCACUUGUACCAGGCUAUGGAAAUUCAUGUUUCCAAUUUUGUAUUUAUUUUUAUUAUGAUACAGUAUUCUGUAAAUUUGAAUAAUAUUUGUGUGCUUAUAGUGUGCUUAUUUUUAGGAGAGUUUGUUGAGAGGCAGAGGCCUACUCUGGGGCGGUAAAUCGCCUUAAAUCGCCUAAAAUCGCCCAAAAUCGCAUUAACUCGCCAACAUGCAUUCUGUUUGAUAUAUUCAGUCUACGUACACAAGCUUAUCAAUUGCUGCUAUUUUGCUGGCAAAUCAUGUAAUCCAGGUGCUUUGCAGUCAAAAGUAAUCCAACAUGGAUAGAUCAAAUAAGUGGAUUAUGCUGACAAUAUUUAGUCACUCGAUAGGCUCCGGUCAUUAAUAAACACAGAACUUUUUUUUGCUUUAUGCAGACUUUACAAUAAUUAGGAAAUCUGGGAUAUAAAAGACCCAUAUAUUCCAUUACACUACCAGCAACAAAACUGAGUUACUAGUUAAUUUCAUUAUUGUUGUAAAAUGUGGAGGCUGGGCUACAAUUUAUAUGGACUAUGGGGGCUGGGCUACAAAUUAAUCUAUAAUAUACAUGGUUUCUCAAAGCCUAAUUGCUGUUAGAACAACAGUAGGAGACUAUGAUAAUGAGAGUUAAUGAGUACGAGUAUAUAAUAAGGUCAUCCUGCAAUUUGUGCACUGUUGCAUGUAGAUCGAGCACUGCAUUGUAUACAAUGGUUGUACUUCGACAUGUGCACGGUUAUACUCUAGCUCUUAGCUAUAAUUAUACUGGCUAUCAAACGAAAAAAAAUACGUGAGGUUAUGAGCGAGAUUUGCAAGUUUUGCAACUCUCAUCUAUUAAAUUUUCCAGACCUGUAUAUAAAAUAAACAGUAAAACAAUGAUUACAUCGUACAUACCAUACAAUCUUUGUUGUUGUUUGUUUGCAGAACACUUGACAAAUUAUCAGGUAAAAGACUUAAAACCACGAUGUAGUGCGCGGUGUGCCAUUUGUUUAAUAUCAUUUUCUUUAGUAAUUUUUUAAAAUAAUUUAGAAUUCCUACCAUUUAUAUGCGAUAUACUUCAUGUAAAUUAAACUUUACGGCAUUACGCCGACAGUUUCCGAAUGCGUGACGAUACUGUUUCCGGAUAUAGAUAUCAAACAUAAUUUUAUAAAACAUGAGUGUUGAAACAGUUUAAAUAAAAUGCUAGCUAAAUAAAGAAGUGUUAACAAGUUACAAAACAAGAAAAUUUCACUUACAAGGGUGACAAGGUAAUUUGUAGGAUUAUAGCUUAUUGUGACUGUAUAAAUACAUUGUGCGUUUCUACUCCCUGUGGGCUGUGGUUCUUUUGGAAAUCAAAUAUCAAUUAUAUUUUGCAAUUAAUAAUAUUAAAGUUUAAGACAUGUGUAGUUUAGUUAUAGGUUGGCAUAUUGCAAUUAUGUACCGUACAUGCCCCUUAAGUAGAGUAUAUUUAUUAACUGUUUACAAUAUUACCAUGAAUGACCACAUAACCCCAUAGGAUGAACUCCAAUGGCUUCUAAACAGACAAUGGAUGAGAAUAUUGGGUUAAAAUAAUUAUUAACCUAGCUUUAUAUAAAAUGUGCAUACAUGUUCUAAUAAUUGUAUUUUGCUUCAUACAGAAGAUAAUUCUCUUCCAUCCAAUUUCUUGAUGUGAACUGCAGCCCAUAUGGAAUAGGAAAGGAAAGAUGGCCCGCUUCACCACUGAUAAAUACCGAAAUUUCCAGUCGCGUGACUACACUUAGAUUAACUUGCGCGCGCAACUAACUUAUUUCGCAUAAUUAAUUUCAACUAUAAAUUAUUCCGGGAAGCAAUAAAAACUCUUAUCGCUGUAGCAAUAAGUUCCUAUAUGUGUGUGGAAACAUUACAUUAUUAUUCAGCUCAUUCCCCAUUGGGGCUUUUUAGUGACCGAUUACAUCAAGUAUUAGGAUACUUAUGUUAGUCUGGACUAUUUAUCUUUACAACAAUGAGAAUAUGAUAUUACUUUCCUAACCGUGUUUAUUCUAACCCACCCUGCCAAUUUUGGCCUGUGGGAGGAAACGGAGCAAAAAAAUAAAUUCAAUUACCUUGAAAACACCUAAAUUGCAAUCCCAAAAUUUAGAAUUUUCUCCUAAAUUACCUUAAAUCGCCUAAAAUCGCAUUAAAUCGCAGUGCUUGAAAGUCCCAGUUUUUCCUUAAAUCGCCUAAAAUCGCAUUAUAUCACGGCGAUCUAAGGCGAUUUACCGCCCCAGAGUAGGCCUACGCAGCAUAUAUUUUGAUAUUUCAAAAUAUUACUGUAUAUUGGUAUGUUAUACUUAAUGCUUUUGGAAGGGUUAUAGGGGUCAGGUGUGAUAUACUUUUUCAGGUAUUUUGUGUCUGAUGUAUGUAAGAGCUUUAUUAUUGGGUUUCUUGGUGAGACCUUACAUCUUAUGUGUCCUAUAACCCUCUGUAAUUGCGGAUUAUUGCAUACAUUCUAAUUGUAUUUUUUUGUAGGAGUCCAAAGAUGCAAAUGAUACAAUUUCAAACUUAUCACAACCCAUAUUGUGGCCGCUGGCAGCGAACUAGAAUACGAAUAGAAACUGUCAAUCAUACGUUAUCGAGAGAAAGGAUGAACGUUCCAUAACAAGCAACAGUUGUUUUGAUGCAAUUAUCGCCUUUUUGGCAAGUUUUUACAUCUUCAAUAUUGAGUACUGCCACACGAAGAGCAUCUUGUCUGCCUUGCAGACUAUAGUAGUGCAUGGCCAACACAGAAAAUGGCAUACAACUGCCAAUAGUGAGUUUAAGCAAGUGACGUUUUUGACAAC
Molecule: long non-coding RNA, 5758 nt
Filed under: Paramuricea clavata
Lineage: Eukaryota; Metazoa; Cnidaria; Anthozoa; Malacalcyonacea; Plexauridae
Source: RNAcentral